AGUAGAGAGAAGGGAAGAGAAAGCCUAAAGACAAAGCAACAGACCUGGCAACCCUGGCGAUGAGGUCCGCGGGACGAGAAAAGACGCGGGACGUGAGGAGCGGGGAAGAAAGAGUUUGGGAAAGAGCGAGAAAGGACGAGUUUGGCGGGGCGGAGAGAAGAGAGAAUAGAGGGAGAGUGGGCGAGUAGCCGACCCGGCGACGGAGUCCACGAUCGGCCCCCGGACUCGCAUAACUCAGCCCAGCGGUGGACCGCGGGGACGACACCCCCGGGUCCCGCCUCGCAAACCCCCGCCAGCGGGUAGCCAACCCGGUCGCUCAGUCCGUAUCGGUUCCCGGACUUCGAGAACACAACCCAGCGACCUCGCAAACACCAUGAGGACGACGAGUGGGGUGUGUUUUUUUGUUGGCGAUUGAGCGUGAAGCCAGUGGUUUUUGCAGGCCUAAAGGCCUGCAGGUGGAAGGGCGAAUGGGCCCUUGGGCGAACGUGUCUAUGGAUUAUUCCUGCAAGCAGGGGAACGCAGGGGUGACCAAGGCUGGAAGAAGGUGCACGUCAGACAGACCUAUCCGGGGGCAAUCCAGCACCACAGUAGCCCAGGUUCAUCCGGGGCGUUUGAAGCAGCUGUUUGCAAAACCAACUCACCACAAGGUCGACUUCAAUCAUACCUCAUGAAAAGUGCUUCACGUAAUCACUCUGAACACCUGCCCCCCCCCGCCUCAAACCUCUGGAUUCAUUCAUUUUUUCAUUUCAUUUCAUUAAUGGCUGUAAACUGGAUCCACCUCAUCGUGUCCUUCAUCAAAGAGAGGAAGAGGAGAGGAAGUCGUUGGUCUCGGGCCUCUCUGUAGUUGUGCCAGG
This is a long non-coding RNA of Gasterosteus aculeatus aculeatus (three-spined stickleback), 854 nucleotides long. The record is from Ensembl. Lineage: Eukaryota; Metazoa; Chordata; Actinopteri; Perciformes; Gasterosteidae.